Myotis davidii is the source of this 246-nucleotide long non-coding RNA. RefSeq lists it as uncharacterized. The record is from RefSeq and is a predicted model, not a curated record. Lineage: Eukaryota; Metazoa; Chordata; Mammalia; Chiroptera; Vespertilionidae. The transcript is spliced from 5 exons.
AGGGCCUCCCUGGGCCUCAGGGUGCCAUCGGCCCUCAUGGAGAGAAGGGUCCUCUGGGGAAACCAGGGCUCCCCGGCAUGCCUGGCUCAGACGGACUCCCGGGUCACCCCGGGAAGGAAGGUCCCCCAGGCACCAAAGGAAACCAGGGUCCAUCUGGACCUCAGGGCCCUCUCGGGUACCCCGGACCCCGAGGUGUCAAGGGUGUGGACGGAAUUCGCGGUCUGAAGGGUCAUAAGGGUGAAAAGG